CACCCUUCACAUUGUCCAAGUGUAUUCUCUCAACUAAGCCAAGUCAAUCAGGUAUUAUGGACAUUUUAUUUACUAAACUUGUCAUAACAUUUGUUAUCCACAUUACAGCUUUUUAUACUUUGUUUUUUCAUACCAGGGUCAAAAAGUUCCUAUAGUGAGUCCUUUUGGAUUACCAGUAGCUUAUUAUGGGUACCAUCAACCUAAUAUUAACAUAUACCAGCAAAAUUCCUUGAGCAUCAGAUCUCAGGGUAGCUUUGUUACUAGCGGGAGUUAUUUUGGAGUACCUGGUGGAAGUUGGGUAGCUGGCACCAGUGGAUCCAUGAAUGCACACCAUCUGCCUCUUGUGGGUGCCAAACAGGCAUCAACUGGUAACAACAAAAUUAUUCGAGGACCAGCGCUUGCCUAAGUUUGGAGGGCAACGGGUUCGAUGUCAAUGUUAGCUGCAUUGCUGUUUGAAGGGCAGAAUAGUUGUUUUGUGCUAUGAAUGUAUGUGGGAUUUCUUGGAUGCAGAAUAUGAGAUAUUGUACUAUGGAUAUAUGGGGUCUUUUUGUUGUAUGCAAGUCUACUCACCUUUUGCGCAUGUUAGAUUUGUUGAAUGCGAGGAUAGCUCUUUUCCAUCAUUUCUUGUUGUAAGAUGUGGAGCUUACUAUUGGUCUUGUGCUAGGGUUUGUAAGGCUAUUCCACUUUAGUUCAGAGGUGGUGUUUUUUUGGUGUGUUCGAGUUUGCCCAUUGUUGGUUAGAUUGUGAUAGUUUGUGUGGCAGUUUUGUCGAAGCUGUCUAAGUGCUUAGACCUCUCGCCUAUUGUCUUAUUUUGUUUGUUUAUGUUA
This is a long non-coding RNA of Magnolia sinica, 827 nucleotides long. RefSeq lists it as uncharacterized. Lineage: Eukaryota; Viridiplantae; Streptophyta; Magnoliopsida; Magnoliales; Magnoliaceae. The transcript has 3 exons. The record is from RefSeq and is a predicted model, not a curated record.